AACGCACCUUGCACUCUUUGGUAUUCCGAAGAGUAUGUCUGUUUGAGUGUCAUGAAACUCUCAACCCCCUCAUUUUGUAAUGAAACGAGCGUGGGCUUGGAUUGUGGCUGUCUGUCGGCGUAAAUGCCGGCUCAGCUGAAAUUGACGAGCAACCCAGUUUGAAUACCAGACGGCUUGACUCGGCGUAAUAACUAUUUCGCUGAGGACGUCUACCUUUCAAAUCGUUAGUGGUGCUUCUAAUGCAUUUUUAAUAACUUAAGCUUUAGACCUCAAAUCAGUCAGGACUACCCGCUGAACUUAA
This 301-nucleotide unclassified non-coding RNA is filed under the name Symmetrospora sp. RNAcentral's name for it is "partial contains 5.8S ribosomal RNA, internal transcribed spacer 2, and large subunit ribosomal RNA". The stretch from base 1 to 52 matches the Rfam family "5.8S ribosomal RNA", at positions 103 to 154 of the family's 154-position model. The record is from RNAcentral. Lineage: Eukaryota; Fungi; Basidiomycota; Cystobasidiomycetes; Symmetrosporaceae. RNAcentral also lists the same sequence under 3 other names.